GACGAACGCUGGCGGCGUGCCUAAUACAUGCAAGUAGAACGCUGAAGGAGGAGCUUGCUUCUCUGGAUGAGUUGCGAACGGGUGAGUAACGCGUAGGUAACCUGCCUGGUAGCGGGGGAUAACUAUUGGAAACGAUAGCUAAUACCGCAUAAUAGUAGAUGUCGCAUGACAUUUGCUUAAAAGGUGCAAUUGCAUCACUACCAGAUGGACCUGCGUUGUAUUAGCUAGUUGGUGAGGUAACGGCUCACCAAGGCAACGAUACAUAGCCGACCUGAGAGGGUGAUCGGCCACACUGGGACUGAGACACGGCCCAGACUCCUACGGGAGGCAGCAGUAGGGAAUCUUCGGCAAUGGACGGAAGUCUGACCGAGCAACGCCGCGUGAGUGAAGAUGGUUUUCGGAUCGUAAAGCUCUGUUGUAAGAGAAGAACGAGUGUGAGAGUGGAAAGUUCACACUGUGACGGUAUCUUACCAGAAAGGGACGGCUAACUACGUG
This 495-nucleotide ribosomal RNA is filed under the name uncultured bacterium. RNAcentral describes it as "partial 16S ribosomal RNA". It matches the Rfam family "Bacterial small subunit ribosomal RNA", at positions 28 to 507 of the family's 1533-position model. The record is from RNAcentral.